GGUAAAUCGUCCUGAUGAUUACAGAUAGUGAACUAGGCUUUAUCAUUAUUUUCAAUCUAGUAGUAGGCAACUUUACAAAUAUUUCUAUUAUUUGAAUGAUGCAUUUUGUUACGAUUCUAGUGGUUUUGGUUUUAAUUUGUGCAAAAAGUUCAGCAGACACAACGACUGUUUUUCAACACGGGUUUGAGAACUGUACAUUUGCCAACAACGGAACAUGUGGCUACGACAUUCGCUCUCCUUGGGAAAUUCACAAGGGAUCGUUUUUGUUAAGUGGUCGUUAUGUCCUUAACGGAGGUCAAGACGACGAGUUCUAUGCGCUAUUUAAUACGCAUAUUUCAUCCAUUGGUAAUCCCGACAUUUCGAUGGUCUCCCCAUUAUUACCGAAAGGAGCAGCUUGUCUCAGUUUCUACUACACUAUCCCUGCUUCCUGGGAAAAUCUUCAUGUGAGGAUACGUACAGAGGACAAUGCACUGUGGAACUGUGGAAUGUGACCCAACGCGGGAAUAAGAACUGGACAAGGGUGGAUAGAUUGGCUGUAUACCCUGACGCAGCAUUUCUGGUAAAACGGAUCUUAAAAAGAAUUUUUCAGAAUCAUAACCAAUUUACUUAAAUCGAUAUUAAGAAACCAUUACGAGAUAAGCAUUUAAAUAGGCGAACGUAAAAUGGUAACAAAACACUGUCCAAUUUUGUAAACGAAACAAAUAUGCAUAGUUAUCUCCGCAAAACGUAUUAAAUCGGUGAAAAAAAUGCAGUAGGAAUACCGUGAUUCGUAUAUGUUAUAUGAUCUUGUUUAUUGCGCGCAAAAUGUUUGGGAUAUUAAACCAUUUGCUCAUAAAAAGGAAAUACACCUGUACAUUAUAUAUUGUGUAUUGUGUACGAAAUAUCGAGUGGAUGUUAAAAAGUUGUAUUUAGUGCAUCGUGAUAAUUGUCAUUCGCACAACAUUAAAUGUUAAAAUGAUUAUUAUGUUGCACGUGUAAUCGCAGUCUAUAAUAACGUGCAUCUUACAAUCUGAUGCUCGGUUUAAAUUAGUUUAAUCGUAGCCAUGUUUGAAUUGAGAUGCAUGAUUGAUACGGUUAUUGAAAGACAUCUACAGAGAACGGUCGGCACUCGUCCUUCAAUACCGUCAUGCUUUUGACAUGUUUAGACCUUGCAUUAUUCUGCAACAGUCUGAAUUUUCUGGUCUCUGAUAAAGCAAGCCUUGCCCAUAACCUUUAUUAGUCUUGUACGUAUUUGACACACAUCCUUAGAAUAUCAGAAUAAACAUUAAGAAUAAAUUCAACGUCACUUUUUCUUCAAAAAGUGUAAUCAUGCUAACUAAUUUAAAUUCAAACUUAGAAACCUCAUUUUCAAUUUAACUUGUUCACCGUUAAACCGUGACAUGAUUGAGCUUUCAUGACAUGUGCUGUUACAAAAACCGGGAGUAUAUUUCUCAUUUAAUGCCAACACCGACUGUGCAGGUAAGACUCGAAACCUUUUAUCAAGUUAUUUAUUAAUGUUCAUAUGAACAGCAUUUGUAUUCUCGAAUUGUAAUGCAUUUCUAUAUGUACAGUUCCGUGUUUUUACAUUGUUGCUUUAUUUUCUGAGAUAUUUUAUGAAACGUCUGAGCCGUUCGUUCGACAUUUACACAAUUUAGGAACAUAUAUGCAAAGAAGGUUCCUUUAAAUAUAUGUUUUGAAAUGGUUUAUUGUCCAAAUUUGUAAAACAAAAUACGUUACCAAUAAAUUAUGAUAAACUCGAUAGUAUUUUGGGAUACAUGAAGGAAA
Molecule: long non-coding RNA, 1764 nt
Organism: Dreissena polymorpha
Lineage: Eukaryota; Metazoa; Mollusca; Bivalvia; Myida; Dreissenidae
Exons: 3
Source: RefSeq, a predicted model, not a curated record